Molecule: non-coding RNA, 45 nt
Organism: Schistosoma curassoni
Lineage: Eukaryota; Metazoa; Platyhelminthes; Trematoda; Strigeidida; Schistosomatidae
Source: Rfam
AUCCAGCUGAAGAGUCUCAAAUAGGACGAAACGCACGUCUUGGAU